AUCAGCCUCACCUUUGCUGCUAAGCUGCUGUUUUCUAGCGAGUGGGUUCAAGUAUCGCUUCAUUUUGGUGUUUUCAUGCCAGGACUCCUGUGUGUGGGAGACUGACUGUUCUUUGCUCGAGCCCUGAACACGAAGCCGUGAGCUCCAACGCUGAGCUCCUGGGUCUGGUUCCACCGCUUCCUGCAGCUGCCAGUGACCCCUUGGCUUCUCCAAGCUCUCACGUGACCAGCAGGUCAUCCUCCCUCACCAUACCAAACGUUGCCAUGACCAGAAGCUCCCUGAAGAAACCAAUGCUGACAGGGAAGUCAUGGGAAGAGGGCAGUGGGGAAACUGGAUGCCCAGGAUACCCUGGAGGGCCUGAUCCAGCGUCUCUGAUGCAGGUCGGCCCCUCUCUUCUCCCACGUCUUCUUCUUCUUCUCUCCUUUCGCCAUUGUGUGCCACUCAAAAUUCACACAGUCCCUCGGGUGCUCGGCUCCUUACGGACACAAAGGCCGACACACAUGCACAUAUUAUUCCUUCCUCGGGGCUGUGUCUGACUCCGGCAUGAAAUCAAUUUCGGAGCCUGCACCCUCCCACUACCCUUCUCCGGGCUCCCAUUUUCUCCCACCGUGAAGCGAGACCGUUCCUGUGCCAGCCUGAGAAGAAACCCCACCAACCCCAACCUCAUGCCCCGGUCCGGAUCCCAGAAUCCUUCAGUGCUGUGCCUGCUGUCGUCACCCAGUCCUGCUUUCUUCCUUCCAACCACCCACCUUUCACGUGUUUUUUGCCGCACAGGCCAAAUAUUGAUUUUGUGCGUCCUGUAAUAUGAUUGCAUGUUUUAAAUAUGCAAAUGGAGACCACACACUGUGAGUCAGUAAAGCGGUGUUUCAUUUUCACCCCACGCCUGCUGUUUUACUACCAGCUGUACCGUGUAAGUGGAAUACCUGCGAUAAUUAAA
Long non-coding RNA from Betta splendens (Siamese fighting fish), 937 nucleotides. Lineage: Eukaryota; Metazoa; Chordata; Actinopteri; Anabantiformes; Osphronemidae. The record is from Ensembl.